Molecule: microRNA precursor, 110 nt
Filed under: Morus notabilis
Lineage: Eukaryota; Viridiplantae; Streptophyta; Magnoliopsida; Rosales; Moraceae
Description: mir-395 microRNA precursor family
Rfam family: mir-395 microRNA precursor family
About the family: mir-395 was identified in both Arabidopsis thaliana and Oryza sativa computationally and was later experimentally verified. mir-395 is thought to target mRNAs coding for ATP sulphurylases. The mature sequence is excised from the 3' arm of the hairpin.
Source: Rfam by way of RNAcentral
CUGUCCCUAGAGUUCCCCUGAACACUUCACUGGAAUUUCCAUGGCAACUCUCAAGUCAAGUGAGGGUAAUGCUAGCCCACUGAAGUGUUUGGGGGAACUCUGGUUGCCAU